AUUUUUGUUGUAAUAUGGGGACGAAGUCCCCAAUAACAGUAGAAAAUUUAAUAAAAAAAAAAUUCGGGAAAAUUUCCCGAAUUUUUCAUUGUAU
RNAcentral lists this small RNA (94 nucleotides) under Mytilus galloprovincialis (Mediterranean mussel). The record is from RNAcentral. Lineage: Eukaryota; Metazoa; Mollusca; Bivalvia; Mytilida; Mytilidae.